Small nucleolar RNA from Ursus americanus (American black bear), 76 nucleotides. The record is from Ensembl. NCBI's taxonomy places the organism in Eukaryota, Metazoa, Chordata, Mammalia, Carnivora, Ursidae.
GUUUGAAUGAUGACCUUAAAGUUGUCAGAAACUUCUCAGCUGUAUGAGGAAACCCCCACUUCCUGCAUAUGCAAAC